This 76-nucleotide transfer RNA is filed under the name Clostridia bacterium. Its description in RNAcentral is "tRNA-Thr". It matches the Rfam family "tRNA". From Rfam's summary of the family: Transfer RNA (tRNA) molecules are approximately 80 nucleotides in length. Their secondary structure includes four short double-helical elements and three loops (D, anti-codon, and T loops). The record is from RNAcentral. Lineage: Bacteria; Bacillati; Bacillota; Clostridia.
GCUGGUGUAGCACAGUCGGUAGUGCAUUCGAUUCGUAAUCGAAAGGUCAGGGGUUCGAUUCCCCUCACCAGCUCCA